AAAAAUACCAAAUGAUGAAAUAAAAAAUAUUAAAAAUCAGAAAUAGAAACUAGAAUUUAUUUGGAAAAUAAUGCAAUUGGUCCCAUAAUUUUUGGAUUAAAAAUGAAAAAGAUAUUGAUUUUUGAAAAUAAGUGGAAUUAAAGGAAAUAAAAACAGAAAAUAGAAAUUAGAAAAAAACCAGGAGCGUCUGAUGGAACUCAUUAAUUAACAUGGCAACAUCUAAUGGUCCAGAAGCG
This 236-nucleotide long non-coding RNA is filed under the name Lathyrus oleraceus (garden pea). RNAcentral describes it as "Pisum sativum (pea) long non-coding RNA (PSAT_LNC002563)". The record is from RNAcentral. Lineage: Eukaryota; Viridiplantae; Streptophyta; Magnoliopsida; Fabales; Fabaceae.